CUAGCAUAUCAAUAAGCGGAGGAAAAGAAACCAACAGGGAUUGCCCUAGUAACGGCGAGUGAAGCGGCAACAGCUCAAAUUUGAAAUCUGGCUCUUUUAGAGUCCGAGUUGUAAUUUGCAGAGGGCGCUUUGGCGUUGGCAGCGGUCCAAGUUCUUUGGAACAGGACGUCACAGAGGGUGAGAAUCCCGUACGUGGUCGCUAGCCUUCGCCGUGUAAAGCCCCUUCGACGAGUCGAGUUGUUUGGGAAUGCAGCUCUAAAUGGGAGGUAAAUUUCUUCUAAAGCUAAAUACUGGCCAGAGACCGAUAGCGCACAAGUAGAGUGAUCGAAAGAUGAAAAGCACUUUGGAAAGAGAGUCAAAUAGCACGUGAAAUUGUUGAAAGGGAAGCGCUUGCAGCCAGACUUGCCUGUAGUUGCUUAUCCGGACUUUUGUCCGGUGCACUCUUCUGCGGGCAGGCCAGCAUCAGUCUAGGCGGUUGGAUAAAGGUCUCUGUCAUGUACCUCUCUUCGGGGAGGCCUUAUAGGGGAGACGACAUGCAACCAGCCUGGACUGAGGUCCGCGCAUCUGCUAGGAUGCUGGCGUAAUGGCUGUAAGCGGCCCGUCUUGAAACACGGACCAAGGAGUCUAACAUCUAUGCGAGUGUUUGGGUGUCAAGCCCAGACGCGUAAUGAAAGUGAACGGAGGUGGGAACCCUUUGGGUGCACCAUCGACCGAUCCUGAUGUCUUCGGAUGGAUUUGAGUAAGAGCAUGGCUGUUGGGACCCGAAAGAUGGUGAACUAUGCUUGAAUAGGGUGAAGCCAGAGGAAACUCUGGUGGAGGCUCGCAGCGGUUCUGACGUGCAAAUCGAUCGUCAAAUUUGGGCAUAGGGGCGAAAGACUAAUCAAACUAUCUAGUAGCUGGUUCCUGCCGAAGUUUCCCUC
RNAcentral lists this ribosomal RNA (920 nucleotides) under Phaeosphaeria herpotrichoides. RNAcentral describes it as "LSU rRNA". It matches the Rfam family "Eukaryotic large subunit ribosomal RNA", at positions 34 to 974 of the family's 3401-position model. Lineage: Eukaryota; Fungi; Ascomycota; Dothideomycetes; Pleosporales; Phaeosphaeriaceae. The record is from RNAcentral.